UUUUUAAAUUGAGAGUUUGAUCCUGGCUCAGGAUGAACGCUGGUGGCGUGCCUAAUACAUGCAAGUCGUACGCUAGCCGCUGAAUUGAUCCUUCGGGUGAAGUGAGGCAAUGACUAGAGUGGCGAACUGGUGAGUAACACGUAAGAAACC
Molecule: ribosomal RNA, 150 nt
Filed under: Oenococcus oeni
Lineage: Bacteria; Bacillati; Bacillota; Bacilli; Lactobacillales; Lactobacillaceae
Description: partial 16S ribosomal RNA
Rfam family: Bacterial small subunit ribosomal RNA
Source: RNAcentral